This 3607-nucleotide long non-coding RNA is filed under the name Salvia miltiorrhiza (redroot sage). RNAcentral's name for it is "long non-coding RNA (SMIL_LNC008233)". Lineage: Eukaryota; Viridiplantae; Streptophyta; Magnoliopsida; Lamiales; Lamiaceae. The record is from RNAcentral.
AAUUUCACCCAAAUCACCAAAUCACCUUCUUCCUUACACACCAAAUCACCAAAUCUCUUCGAUUUCCCUAACCCUCGUCGCCGGCCCAGCCUUCUCCACCAAAUCUCUUCGAUUUCCCUUACCCUCGUCGCCGCCCCAGCCUUCUCUGGCCGCUGAUCCAGCCUUCUCCGGCCGCCGUCGGUUCGCCCUGCCCCGUCUCCUUCGAUCGAUAGCCCACCGCCCUCACCUAGCCUUUCCCGGACGACUCCGUCUGACAACUCCGCAGCUGCAGCAGUUUCCAACGCCUAAGUUCCCAUGGAAGAAUCGAGACAUCGUCGGAAAACCUAGCUCUAGGCCUUUCGGAGUAUCCCGCAGCGAUUCUAUUGCUAGCCUCGCUGUUAAGUAUCCCGUUCAGGUAUUCUAUUGCUAAUCGAAUUUAUUUUCGCGAAUUUUGAUUAUGCUCAAGCCUAGGCUAUGUGUAAAAUACUAUAGUCUUGUAGUACACAUCACGCACUUCGUUAGUAGAGGUGGAAUGGUCAGAUUGGUUUCUAAUGCUGGGUUGGGGGUGGGGGAUGCAGUAACACUAAGGCUUGGAGUUUGUUUGAUUGGUGCUGUUCAAAUUGAUGUCAUUAAUAUUAGGUGUUGAUUUGCUCAUCUGUAAAGGGGAUGUAUAUGUGGAUAAUUAAUCCCUAUGCAGUUUCUAAUUUAAAUUUUGCAUAUUUAUGUGUUUGGUUGCACAUAUUGCUAGCUAUGGUUGGAUGGAACUAUAAUUUCGACUGAAAUGAGGUGACAUUUAACAUCUUUAUACUGUUUAGCUGAUGUUAUUAAAUUUUGUAUUUCUGUGGUUGGAGAUUUUGGGAAUUCUCAAAUGUGAGUCAUUAUAUGAGGGUGAUUUGGUUAUUGGUAUUAGUAAUUAUCAGUUGGUCACCUUACAUGUCAAGAUUGAUCUCUUUCUGAAUGCAAUGGUGCCUCUCUUCCCGUUUCGAUGUAAAUUGGAUAAUUCUGUAACAGAUUGUUUAAUUUCCAUUUAAGUAGCCGUUUGCAUAAUCUUGGAUCAAAAGUGCAGGUGGUAGAAAAAAUAAGGCCGUUUCUAGUUUUAAUUAUAAGCUAAAGUUUUAACAUUGAAUAUUGUUCAUUUCUUUGAAUAGUGAAACUAGUGAGAUGUGAUUUGUUGGUGGUGGAGAUACCUGCGAGGAAUGUGAAGCUUCAUUUUCUAAUGCCACAUGGUUGCAUUCUUUGAAACACAGAGGCAGAUGAAAUUUUUCUGAGGAUGAGGUAAUAUAGCUUGGCUCAUGUUGUUGAAUUUUAUAGCAGAGGAAAACAUCGAGUAGGAAUGAUUAAAUUUUAUAAUAUUAUUAUCAAGACUAAUUCUUUUUUAAUUAUCAACCGUGGUUUAAUAAAUUCUUCUAAAAUAUUCAUUUACAUCUUAUGUUUGUUUCUUUCAUUUUUAUCAAGUCUUGGGGUGCAUAUAUCUGAUCAAACACUUUUAACAAGUUUUUUGUUUAUUGAAGUUUUUAUUGAUUAAUAGCUUUUCUGCUUUUCAUUUUAUUAAGCAGCUACACAUGUUAAUAGCUCUAUGCUAGCAGAGAGUCUAUCUACAAAAGUACAAAAAGUAAGGGCCUUCUAUUUAUUCCAUUUUUAUAAUAGUCUUCAUCUUUAUUAUACAACUUAAGGCAAAAAGUUGGUCCAUGAUUUGAGGCUUAAACCAUAGUGUGUUGUUGAGUUUCUCGUAAUUUUUGAGAUUUAUAUUAUUGUCAAUUAGUUUGUUAAUGAUUUGGUCCAUGGAGCUGCUCUGAGUAGGCAACCAGCAUUCGUCCAUAAUGAAAAAGCCUCUGGAGGAGAUCAACAUUUUCUGUUCGAUGGAGAUUAUAUUCAGGUUAAUUAGGAAACUCAUUGCUGUUAAAAUAAUAAGCUAAGUUUACUUUUAGUUUCUAAAGGUUAAUUGUUUCUUGAACCUAAACUUUUCUAGUAAGGUGACAGUCAACUUUGAAUAAUUACUCUUUAAGUUUUUGAAUGGAUGUUUGGGCUUCGUCGCAUUUGAGGGUUGCUUGAUGAGAACAAGAAAAUUAUUUGUUAGUGAUGAGCUUGAUAUUGCUCUAGUUCUUUAAAAUUUUAAAACUCUUUAGAGUGGGGGUGGUGUAAUGAGUUUUAUCUUCUAAUUAGGAUUGAUUGAAUACAUAGAAUUUAUUGCAUUUGAUUUUCAGUUUCCAGGUACAGGAAAAGAGACAGAGGAAACUAAUUUACUGCAGCAGCUAUCUGACGCAUGCCUGGUUGUUGAUGCUCUUGAGCCAUCAGUAAGGGAAGAGUUAGUAAAGAACCUCUGUAGUAGAAAGCUUACUUCAUACCAGCAAAUUUUUGAGGGAGCAGGUUUGUCUUAUUGCUUUACUUUGAUUUUUGUUAUUGCCUUCCAAUUUUCCUGAAGUACUUUGUUACUUGGAAUUUGAAACUUGGGUAUAUUCUAUUAGAUAUUUGUUUCAUAUCAUUUACACCAUCAUUUACCAACCUCAUAUAUCAUAUCAUUAUAAUUUGUAACCUCUCUCUCUCUCUCAAUUUAAACACAUGCAUGUUAAACUGUCCUACAGUAUACAUAAUAUUCAAAUUCUUAUCUUUGUAUCAUAAUCUAACAUCCUGCUAAAUAUUAGAUGAUGAAACUCUCUUCUUACUGACUUGGCUAUGAGUUUCAUGAUGAUACGUGUAAUUAUACAGAGAUUAUUUUCAUAAAAAAAGGCUUGAAUAUUGAAAUAUAAAGUGAGGUUUUGUUCAUGCCAAGCUUUUCUCUAGUUUAAGAAAGGAAAAAAUGACAUUCACGAAAACAUAUAGUAAAUAACAUGUUCAAUACAUAUUUCAAUAUUUGAAUAUGUUUUAGAAAUUCAAUCAGUAUUUUUUAGAAAUUCAACUGAUGUUAGAUCAUGAUACAAAAUAAUAGCAUUAUUUGGAUAUUAUUAUUGAUAGAACAUAUAGAAUACAUGUAAACAGUUUAGGGGUACUUUAAAUAAAUUUUCCAUAUAUAUUUUGUGUGCGCCUUUCAUUUUCAUUUGGAUACUAAAGGAAUAUAGAGUUUUGAAAUGAUGAGGCCGCCACACCUAAGUUGAUCAAGAAUCAUGAUCCUACUCGGAUUUAUGGUUCAGCUGUCAUAAGUUCUCACAUUAAGAAUUUUUGCUCAAAUAAACAUGACAUUCCAAUCAUUACCAAAUUAUAGCACAUCGCUGUAAUUGAAUAAAUCAACUCACAUAAUUUCAGUUUUGACAUGUUUCUGACAUUUAAUUAUGAUGAUAUUAUGCAUAAUUGUGUUGACAAGUCUAAUAUUAUGCUUCUUCAUUGAUCUGUUUUUGCUUCAUUGAAGCUGUAAUGAGUUAUAGAUUGUGUAUCUAUUCUUAGUGUUUUUUUUCAGGGUGCUGAACUUGCUGCAUAGGAAAGAAAGAGUGCAGCAUUGGCAGCUUGUAGGACGUUGGCUGAAGAUCUAACCGAGCAUUUGGAUGUAAAUUAAAUUUAAUGACUACUUUAGGUACUUUGAAGCUACAAUGUUUGGAAGUUUAAGUUAUUUUAUAUAAUAUAUUUUUUGGAUUGUAUUAUUUGAGAAUAUUGUAUAUUUGUAUGAUUUUAAAUUAGGAAAUUACAAAAAACAGGA